GAUGAACGCUGGCGGCGUGCCUAAUACAUGCAAGUCGAGCGAACAGACGAGGAGCUUGCUCCUCUGACGUUAGCGGCGGACGGGUGAGUAACACGUGGAUAACCUACCUAUAAGACUGGGAUAACUUCGGGAAACCGGAGCUAAUACCGGAUAAUAUAUUGAACCGCAUGGUUCAAUAGUGAAAGACGGUUUUGCUGUCACUUAUAGAUGGAUCCGCGCCGCAUUAGCUAGUUGGUAAGGUAACGGCUUACCAAGGCAACGAUGCGCAGCCGACCUGAGAGGGUGGUCGGCCACACUGGAACUGAGACACGGUCCAGACUCCUGCGGGAGGCAGCAGUAGGGAAUCUUCCGCAAUGGGCGAAAGCCUGACGGAGCAACGCCGCGUGAGUGAUGAAGGUCUUCGGAUCGUAAAACUCUGUUAUUAGGGAAGAACAAAUGUGUAAGUAACUAUGCACGUCUUGACGGUACCUAAUCAGAAAGCCACGGCUAACUACGUG
Molecule: ribosomal RNA, 497 nt
Filed under: uncultured bacterium
Lineage: Bacteria
Description: partial 16S ribosomal RNA
Rfam family: Bacterial small subunit ribosomal RNA
Source: RNAcentral